This 433-nucleotide ribosomal RNA is filed under the name uncultured bacterium. RNAcentral's name for it is "partial 16S ribosomal RNA". It matches the Rfam family "Bacterial small subunit ribosomal RNA", at positions 29 to 507 of the family's 1533-position model. The record is from RNAcentral.
AGCGAACGCUGGCGGCAGGCCUAACACAUGCAAGUCGAACGAACUCUUCGGAGUUAGUGGCGGACGGGUGAGUAACACGUGGGAACGUGCCUUUUGGUUCGGAAUAACUCAGGGAAACUUGUGCUAAUACCGAAUGUGCCCUUCGGGGGAAAGAUUUAUCGCCAUUAGAGCGGCCCGCGUCUGAUUAGCUAGUUGGUGAGGUAACGGCUCACCAAGGCGACGAUCAGUAGCUGGUCUGAGAGGAUGACCAGCCACACUGGGUCUGAGACACGGCCCAGACUCCUACGGGAGGCAGCAGUGGGGAAUCUUGCGCAAUGGGCGAAAGCCUGACGCAGCCAUGCCGCGUGAAUGAUGAAGGUCUUAGGAUUGUAAAAUUCUUUCACCGGGGACGAUAAUGACGGUACCCGGAGAAGAAGCCCCGGCUAACCUCGUG